AGUGAACGCUGGCGGUAGGCCUAACACAUGCAAGUCGAACGGCAGCACAGUAAGCGCUUGCUCUUACGGGUGGCGAGUGGCGGACGGGUGAGGAAUACAUCGGAAUCUACUUUUUCGUGGGGGAUAACGUAGGGAAACUUACGCUAAUACCGCAUACGACCUACGGGUGAAAGCAGGGGAUCUUCGGACCUUGCGCGAUUGAAUGAGCCGAUGUCGGAUUAGCUAGUUGGCGGGGUAAAGGCCCACCAAGGCGACGAUCCGUAGCUGGUCUGAGAGGAUGAUCAGCCACACUGGAACUGAGACACGGUCCAGACUCCUACGGGAGGCAGCAGUGGGGAAUAUUGGACAAAGGGCGCAAGCCUGAUCCAGCCAUACCGCGUGGGUGAAGAAGGCCUUCGGGUUGUAAAGCCCUUUUGUUGGGAAAGAAAAGCAGCAGGUUAAUACCCCGCUGUUCUGACGGUACCCAAAGAAUAAGCACCGGCUAACUUCGUG
RNAcentral lists this ribosomal RNA (492 nucleotides) under uncultured bacterium. RNAcentral's name for it is "partial 16S ribosomal RNA". It matches the Rfam family "Bacterial small subunit ribosomal RNA", at positions 29 to 507 of the family's 1533-position model. The record is from RNAcentral.